Molecule: ribosomal RNA, 301 nt
Filed under: uncultured bacterium
Lineage: Bacteria
Description: partial 16S ribosomal RNA
Rfam family: Bacterial small subunit ribosomal RNA
Source: RNAcentral
CAGUAGCCGCGGUAAUACGUAGGGUGCAAGCGUUAAUCGGAAUUACUGGGCGUAAAGCGUGCGCAGGCGGUUAUAUAAGUCAGAUGUGAAAUCCCAGGGCUCAACCUGGGAACUGCAUUUGAGACUGUAUGGCUAGAGUGUGUCAGAGGGGGGUAGAAUUCCACGUGUAGCAGUGAAAUGCGUAGAUAUGUGGAGGAAUACCGAUGGCGAAGGCAGCCCCCUGGGAUAACACUGACGCUCAUGCACGAAAGCGUGGGGAGCAAACAGGAUUAGAUACCCGUGUAGUCCCUGUCUCUUAUAC